This is a long non-coding RNA of Homo sapiens (human), 2562 nucleotides long. Ensembl annotates it as long intergenic non-protein coding RNA 1217. The record is from Ensembl. Lineage: Eukaryota; Metazoa; Chordata; Mammalia; Primates; Hominidae.
AGACAAGAUUCUCCUGCCAAGCAGGGUGCCAUGAAGAAAAUCUAGCUUACAGUGUGAGCCAAAAGAAAUCAAAGUGGAAACAGAAAUGUCAGAGGACUAGAGAGUAAAUGACAGGAGUCUCCACAGUCAUCAUUAGCAUCAACGUUUCACAUGCAGUGGCUUUAUUCAAGCCCACGCAAGAUACAGGAGUCAUUGUCAGUAACGUGAGGACUAAAACAGAGCAAAUGUCACCUUGUCCCUGCAUCAGCUCCAGAAAGGAAGAAAAGCCAAGUUUGGAUUAAAAAAUGGGGACAAUUUUCUACGUGUAAUAUUUUUCAGUUUUGGAACAGAAUCUAAUAAAUGAAGCAGUGGAAAUAAAUUAGAAAAUGGUAAUAUAGCAACAUUUGAAGCAGAAGCUAUCAGUACUCCAGCAAUUCUCCUCAGAUUCUUCUGACUCUUUCUGUGUGCCCAUCCUCUGGCUUCAACAUGCUUGGCUCCUAGAGACUGGCAUCUCUAAGUCUCUUUGAAGGACUGCCCUUGGGCCACUGGCACCAUGGUGCCUGCAAUGCACAGCCAGCCAGCAUCCAUGGUGGUAACAUGCCCUCAAGGAUAGCCCUCACCAAGGACAGACAGGCACAGAUUAUAAAAUCUCAGCAACCUUGCCCCAAGGAGGAACAAAUCUGAGGUUUAAUUUAGGUUCCAGGGCUCCCCAUCAGGAUGAACCUGAGGUUGAAAGUUUACCUGAAAUUAUACCCUUGCUAGUCUUCUCCUUCCUUCCUUGCUUCCCUCAUCUAUUCACAGGCAUCUCCUAUACUGUACUGUACUGACUCCAACUGUACUGAAUCACUUGCACACAAACUCUUGUCUUAUUGUCUUCUUCUGGGAAACCUAAAAUCAUAUCUAGCUGUCACUGUGGUAAAAAUUUCAUAGGCACAAAGAAGUUUAUUAUGUCUUGGAUGCCCUGCUAAUUUUAACAUGUUGCAAUGAAGUUACUCCCUCCCUACCCCCUCAGCAAUGACUGGGAAUCAUGGCUAAUGUCUGGUAAAGCAUAAAUCAAGCCAACUUUUUCCCCUGCUAGAACCACAGGAAAUGGUGGUAUUGUUUUUGAUUAUACACUUCCCAGUACAUCAGGGAGAAGAUUAAUCCUCAGAGGCUUAAAUGACCAGAAUUAUGAAUUGAGGUAAUUCUAGGCAUAGGAGAUCAAAAGAAAUAGCCAUGGACCUUAUGUUUCCUGUGAGAAGAAAGCAAGAGAGCUGGCAGAUGCAUGGCAAGUUUGAGACUUGAUUUAUUCCUGAAAGCAACUGACCGGAGGUAACAUUUGGCUCUAGCCCUGGCUCAGCUCCUUACUGUGGAUUCCUGAGCAAGCUAGUUCUCCUAGACCUUAGUUCACUCACCUGAGUACUUGCACUGAAUGAUACAUAAACUUCCUUCUGGAUUUUAGUUUUGUGAUUCUGUUUGCACAAUCAUAAAACAGCCAACAGAAAAGCCAUACGUGAAGCUUCAGAAGCUGGAAAGUUUAAGCACAUAUCAGUUACUCGUGAGUUAUACUUUUCUGUGUCUGAGAGCAUAUGAGGAGCUUUGCUUGAGUAGCAGCAAAGGAGCUUGUUAAGAAUUCAGAAGCAUAGGAGUAGUAGAGUAUUAAAUGGCUAAGAAAAAGACACCAGCUAUCUCACUGGUGACACAAAGCAGAAUUUCACAACUUAAUCUCAUUCCCACCAGGAGUCUAUUACACAUUCAAGACCUUGAAAGACUACAAAGUCAAGAAUGGAAGGAACAGAUUAAAGGUGGAAUAUUACUUUCAGAAGGAAAGGGAAAGAAACAAAACGAACAAAAUGCAGAUACUGUUUAAUUUUAGUGAAAACUCUUUCUUAAGCCAAAGGAGUCUUACUUUUCUCAGCCCACAAUAUCUGUGGGAAUGUCGAUGGAAUUUUCUGUUUCCUCAUCUUUAGUUUGUGAGAGGCAUGUGCCUGCCCCAUUGCAGCUCUUAAGAACGCACCUUCAUACUACUUGUCAAUUCCACAAAUCCUGAAAUGCAUUAUAUGAUUGGGCUGGACCCAUCAAAAUGUUGAAUAUAUCUUUGAAGUGCCAAUGACAGUGCUAACUCAAGUCACUACAAGUGUUCAGCAAAGGCCUUGUAAAACAAUUACUCAAAACACCCUUAUCCCUGCCCUUUGACCGCAUUCUUAUGGCUUUUGGAAUGGGGACUAACUACAUCAAGUCAUUCUGCAGAACAAACUUGUAGAAGAAGUGUGAAUAAUUUUUUUCAUAUUAUUAAGAUAUUUAUAAUCAGAAGUAUUUACCCAAAACCGUAAACCAUUCAUAUAUUCCAAAGAUGUUACGUGACUUUUCUGAAAUUAGGACAUUAGAAGUAUAUGGAAAUUUAAAUUUGUUUUUGUAUCAAUUUGCUUUUUAAAAUAAAUACAUUUACAUGAUACAAAAUUUUAAAAGCAUAAAAUGAAAUUUUCCCUCCUGCCCCUGUUCACCCAGUAUUCCUCUGUGGAGAUAACCAAUGUUAUCAGUUUAUUAGUUUCUUUCGGAGAUAUUUUAUAUAAGCAAAUAGUCUUGUGGGUGUGCAUUUGUAUG